This 301-nucleotide ribosomal RNA is filed under the name uncultured bacterium. RNAcentral describes it as "partial 16S ribosomal RNA". It matches the Rfam family "Bacterial small subunit ribosomal RNA", at positions 509 to 807 of the family's 1533-position model. The record is from RNAcentral.
CAGCAGCCGCGGGAACACGUAGGGUGCGAGCGUUAAUCGGAAUUACUGGGCGUAAAGCGUGCGCAGGCGGUUCGUUAAGACAGAUGUGAAAUCCCCGGGCUUAACCUGGGAACUGCAUUUGUGACUGGCGAGCUAGAGUAUGGCAGAGGGGGGUAGAAUUCCACGUGUAGCAGUGAAAUGCGUAGAGAUGUGGAGGAAUACCGAUGGCGAAGGCAGCCCCCUGGGCCAAUACUGACGCUCAUGCACGAAAGCGUGGGGAGCAAACAGGAUUAGAUACCCCCGUAGUCCCUGUCUCUUAUAC